RNAcentral lists this ribosomal RNA (404 nucleotides) under uncultured bacterium. RNAcentral's name for it is "bacterial SSU rRNA". It matches the Rfam family "Bacterial small subunit ribosomal RNA", at positions 28 to 417 of the family's 1533-position model. The record is from RNAcentral.
GACGAACGCUGGCGGCGUGCCUAACACAUGCAAGUCGUGCGAGAAAGUUCCUUCGGGAGCGAGUAAAGCGGCGCACGGGUGAGUAACACGUAGGUAACCUGCCCCCCAGUCUGGAACAACUAGAGGAAACUCUAGCUAAUGCCGGAUGAGACCACGAUCCCUUCGGGGGUUGCGGCCAAAGAUGGCCUCUACUUGUAAGCUAUCGCUGAGGGAUGGGCCUGCGGGCCAUUAGCUUGUUGGUGAGGUAACGGCUCACCAAGGCUGUGAUGGCUAGCUGGUCUGAGAGGAUGACCAGCCACACUGGGACUGAGACACGGCCCAGACUCCUACGGGAGGCAGCAGUGGGAAUAUUGCGCAAUGGGCGAAAGCCUGACGCAGCGACGCCGCGUGGGUGAUGAAGGCCU